This 460-nucleotide ribosomal RNA is filed under the name uncultured bacterium. RNAcentral's name for it is "partial 16S ribosomal RNA". It matches the Rfam family "Bacterial small subunit ribosomal RNA", at positions 338 to 795 of the family's 1533-position model. The record is from RNAcentral.
CCUACGGGUGGCAGCAGUGAGGAAUAUUGGUCAAUGGGCGAGAGCCUGAACCAGCCAAGUCGCGUGAAGGAUGACGGCCCUACGGGUUGUAAACUUCUUUUGUCAGGGAGCAAUUGCGUCCUCGUGUGGUCUUAGCGAGAGUACCUGAAGAAAAAGCAUCGGCUAACUCCGUGCCAGCCGCCGCGGUCAUACGGAGGAUGCGAGCGUUAUCCGGAUUUAUUGGGUUAACGGGUUGCGUAGGUGGAAUAUCAAGUCAGCGGUAAAAAUUCGGGGCUCAACCGCGUCGUGCCGUUGAAACUGAUGUUCUUGAGUGGGCGAGAGGUAUGCGGAAUGCGUGGUGUAGCGGUGAAAUGCAUAGAUAUCACGCAGAACUCCGAUUGCGAAGGCAGCAUACCGGCGCCCAACUGACGCUGAAGCACGAAAGCGUGGGUAUCGAACAGGAUUAGAUACCCCAGUAGUC